UGGAGAAAGUAACGAUUAAACCAAGGCCAAUUGGGGACAGUAACCAAUGUAGUGAGAACCACUCCCCCAGCGUAAAUUUGGAUCAUCAUUUGAAACGAUCCCAUUACGUAGCCAACAGAGAAGGCCACCACCGCGAAUACUAUUAGCAUGAUCUGCAUCAGCUGCUCCGCUAGCUUCUGUCCCUGCCAAUCCAUCUAGAACGAAACAAGCAAACCAAAUUCAAAAACCAGAGAUUGUCCCUAGAUCACCAAUUCACCAUCAGUUAUUGAAUUACAGUAAUCAAAUUUUGGGGGAAGGGUUUCGUAAUCUGACCUAGAAUUCACGGAUCUCGUAUCAGGAGA
Molecule: unclassified non-coding RNA, 341 nt
Filed under: Hevea brasiliensis (rubber tree)
Lineage: Eukaryota; Viridiplantae; Streptophyta; Magnoliopsida; Malpighiales; Euphorbiaceae
Source: RNAcentral